ACACCUCAACUCUCAUGGUUUGCCAUGAUGAGCUUGGACCCUGGGGGUUUGCUGGCCUGUAGUCAGCUCCUCUCAAAUGAAUCAGCCUCCAAGUGUUUGGUGGCAUCACGGGUGUGAUAACUAUCUACGCUUGUGGUUUUUCACCAGGUAACCUCCAGUGAUGGGGGUUCGCUGGAGCUCACAGAUGUCUCUCCUCAGCGAGGACAGCUUUUUGAAC
Molecule: unclassified non-coding RNA, 217 nt
Filed under: uncultured Thelephora
Lineage: Eukaryota; Fungi; Basidiomycota; Agaricomycetes; Thelephorales; Thelephoraceae
Description: sequence contains ITS2
Source: RNAcentral